GUACCAAAGAGAGAAUUCGAAACGAUAAUUGUUUACCUUGCUCCUCCAUGUAUAACGUACAAUUCACCGAUAUAGACCUAGAUAGCCUGAAACUGCUCUGUGGUGAGUGCCUAAAAGAUGCACUUCCCAUGGUCCCUUUUCACUAUGGGUGCUGCAGUUAUGUGGCUUAUAGAGAUGCCGAUGUCAUGGAAUUUAAGGGAAACUUCCCCAUGAUGAGAAAUUUUCUGAAAUGUCAUUGGAAACUGCAUUUAGUCUCUUUUUUGUGUAUACCUCAAGGCAUUCCUAAUGAAGACUUGUAUUUCAUUGCUAUUUCCUAUUUCAGGUUCUGGGAUUUGUUCGUUGAUUUAAUGGUUGACAAGUGAGUUAAAUAAUCAAAUACCAGUGGAAUGGAGGUUGAGGGUUGGGAGAAUUCUUCAGGUGGAACUAGUGAUUCGGAGGUCUAUGCGCAGGACACAAAUGACGAAGAGCAUUACUUAACCUCUGGUGACAUACCAAAGUUGCAGUUUAGGAAAAAUAUUUCGACGGGUAGUUGGGAUGAUGAGGUGAGAAUGACUGAAGUUGUUGAGAAGAAGGGUGGCAUGUGGACAACAACAGGAAUAGUUCGUGGCAACAAGAUGUAUUGCUCAAUUGAAGAGACCCUAUUUUUGGCUGAAAGAGGGGAAUUAAGUGUCUUGGACGCUGAUGAUUCAUCAAUUUCCUUGGAAGAUUUAUAUACGAAGGUUGCAAAAGCAACCAGUGGAUGUUGCUGGGAGUCCUUUGAAGUCUAUAGGCACUUGAGGUCUCUAGGUUACAUUGUUCAGCGACAUGGUAAACCUUGGACCAUGAAGGGUACUAAGAAUGAAUCUACUUCAGCUGUAGGAAUUCCACAGAUCAAGGUGAUAACAGAACAAAACUGUAGAGGCCCAUGUCUCAUCAAUGAGCUGCUCAACAAUAUGAGGAUUGAGGAAGUCAGACCCGCAUUUGAUGUUUUCCUUCCUAACAGCAAAUUCAGAAAAUCAUCACCAGGCAAUCCAAGUUUUGUGCUGUUUGUAACCAGUGGCCAUCCGCCAUCCAAAUCGCAGAUUGAAGACCUUGAAAGGCAGUGCAAUGGCAUUCCUUUGAAAUUUGGCCAUGUUGAGCAUGGUCGUGUCAGUUUCUUCUCCUUUAACAAGGUGGAGCUCCCUGUCCUUCCUUGACAUCACUGUUAUGAGGAGAGAUGGAUUGGCGAAGCAUUUUUGGAGGUCCUAGCUUCUGUAAGUUUGAUGGCUAAGUGGCUAACACUCAUGCUGUUCUAGUUCUUCAACUCUCCUCUUGGCAAGUGCAUCUGGAUAGAUUUUGCCUUCCCUGACAGUCUGAUAGAAGAAGUGCUUUACACUGAUGAUGUUAGCCUCCCCAUACGGAAAGCAGCUCAGAUAGGAGCUGGGAAACCAGAGAAGAUAUAGAAGAAAGAGAACAAGGCUACAACCUACAAACAAACUGAGCUGCUCAAGCUUGGCUCAGAAAAGAAAAAUUACAACAGAAAUUUGAUUGUGCUGGAAGAAUUGUCUCACAGUCUCGCACUAUUCUCAAUGACUCAUCCAACGGCGUAGAUUGCUGGGCUAACAUGGUGGAUUGGGAUUUAUCUAGUAAUGUGAGCAAUGAAUGAAUCCAGCUCCAUUCGAGAAACACCGCCUUUUUCCACUGCCCGCCUGGUGGAAGCACCCGGCUCCUCAGCUCUCUUCCUUAUCUCCUCCCCUUCUUUAGACACAAUCAGCUUCUGGACAGCUUUCGCUAUGGUUGAUGAAGUCACUAUUUCAUCUCUCUGUUCCCGUGUUUUUGCCGGCAGACCAACCUUCAAUAUGUCGGUAACCAGAAAAGCAUUCUUGGGUUGGUCAGAGUGCAUGGCCAAGCAGCUAUGGGCACUCCCAUAGUUAUACUCUCAAAGCAUGAAUUCCAGCCAGUGACUCAUGAAUCCACCUGUAGAUGGGUGCCCCAAAAUCUCUACUUGAGGUGCCCAAUCCCUCACCACCAUUCCUACUUCCUUCACUCUCUCUCCGAACCCUUCUGGCAGUUUCUCUUUUGUCACCUCUCCUGUGAAAAUGUCUCCUUUAUCAGCCUCUCUGAAAACCCAAAUGAACUUUUUCUCACUCUGUUCUAACCCCAUCGCGAGCUCUUUGAUCUUUCAUCUGUCAUUGUAGUUGUCGUUCCAAAUGAAACAUAUAAAACGAAUUUUGGGGCUUGUUUGUCAAGCCACUCCAAACUUUUGUCUUUGGGGGUAUUUGAGUUUCUUCUGUCAUAGUCUGCCCCCAGGUUCAAGGGCCCAAUCGACCAUAUUAGUUUGUUCCUAUUAAACUGGUCGUUCGCUAUUAAAUCAAUGUAUGUACCUUCAACUGAUCUGCACGAGUUAUAGAUAUAUCCGGUAGUAAACUUCAGGAAAUCAAUUUGAAGGGCUAUUAAAUGCAGGAUUUCAGUAGAGAAGCAUCCUUCUAUAGACGGUAGCCCUUUUGGGGGUGGUUUUUCCAGGGAGGGGUUUCCCUUCAUUUGCCACCCGUCGAAGAAAGAAGGGAAGGGAGAAGUUGGGCUAAAAGCGUAGGAUUCCGCAUUUGGAACAUUAGCAAUGUCUUGAACAGCAUAAGCCAUCAAGACAUCGUGGAUGACAAUAACUUUUCUUGCCGUGGCAGAGAUACUUUGGAGGAGUGCUGCCAUGGGCUGACGGAGGUGGAUAGAGGAUUCAAAUGAGGGCUGGAGGUGGGUGGGGAAUUUGGUGGAGGGAUUUGGGGUGGGGGAAGGUUAGACGAAAUCAGGGGUCGGGAAUUCAUGGAAAUGGACUUGGGAGUUUUGGAGGUGGGUUUUGUUAUUGAACCGGUGUUUGGCCUGGCGGAGGUGGGUGGAAGCAGUGGCAUAGUGGACAGGUAUGUUGUAGGAGGAGGAGAUGAGGCAGGAGAGGUGGAGGAGCUGGUUGAGUUGGCUUUGGCAUGGAAAUGGCACAAUUAUUACCACCACUUCAGCUUGUUUGGAAAUACUACUGUGGUCAUGGCUUGCAUCUUUGUCAUGAAUAUCCAUGAACUCUCUCUCUCUCUCUCUCUCUCUCCUGCUGCUGCUGCUAUUGUAGUAUGAUUUCCGUGUUCUCAGAGCAACGACGUGUACGUUUUUUAUAAGGAUAGGAAGAACGACUAUCUUCAAACGAAUGUGUGAUUUAUGAAAAUGACGUCUAUGUAUUGUGUGAUGGACCACCCCUUUC
Rhododendron vialii is the source of this 3199-nucleotide RNA transcript. RefSeq lists it as uncharacterized. The transcript is spliced from 6 exons. The record is from RefSeq and is a predicted model, not a curated record. Lineage: Eukaryota; Viridiplantae; Streptophyta; Magnoliopsida; Ericales; Ericaceae.